This 73-nucleotide transfer RNA is filed under the name Segatella copri. Its description in RNAcentral is "Prevotella copri tRNA-Gly". It matches the Rfam family "tRNA". From Rfam's summary of the family: Transfer RNA (tRNA) molecules are approximately 80 nucleotides in length. Their secondary structure includes four short double-helical elements and three loops (D, anti-codon, and T loops). Further hydrogen bonds mediate the characteristic L-shaped molecular structure. tRNAs have two regions of fundamental functional importance: the anti-codon, which is responsible for specific mRNA codon recognition, and the 3' end, to which the tRNAs corresponding amino acid is attached (by aminoacyl-tRNA synthetases). tRNAs cope with the degeneracy of the genetic code in two manners: having more than one tRNA (with a specific anti-codon) for a particular amino acid; and 'wobble' base-pairing, i.e. permitting non-standard base-pairing at the 3rd anti-codon position. The record is from RNAcentral. Lineage: Bacteria; Pseudomonadati; Bacteroidota; Bacteroidia; Bacteroidales; Prevotellaceae.
GCGGAAAUAGCUCAGUUGGUAGAGCACAACCUUGCCAAGAUUGGGGUCGCGGGUCCGAGUCCCGUUUUCCGCU